UACGUAGGGGGCAAGCGUUGUCCGGAAUCAUUGGGCGUAAAGCGCGUGUAGGCGGACUGGAAGGUCUGGUGUGAAAGCCCGGGGCUCAACCCCGGAGGGUCACUGGAAACCGACAGUCUCGAGUCCGGAAGAGGAGAGUGGAAUUCCUGGUGUAGCGGUGGAAUGCGCAGAUAUCAGGAGGAACACCUAUGGCGAAGGCAGCGCUCUGGUACGUGACUGACGCUGAGACGCGAAAGCGUGGGGAGCGAACAGG
This 253-nucleotide ribosomal RNA is filed under the name uncultured bacterium. Its description in RNAcentral is "partial 16S ribosomal RNA". It matches the Rfam family "Bacterial small subunit ribosomal RNA", at positions 524 to 776 of the family's 1533-position model. The record is from RNAcentral.